RNAcentral lists this ribosomal RNA (253 nucleotides) under uncultured bacterium. RNAcentral describes it as "partial 16S ribosomal RNA". It matches the Rfam family "Bacterial small subunit ribosomal RNA", at positions 524 to 776 of the family's 1533-position model. The record is from RNAcentral.
UACGUAGGGUGCAAGCGUUGUCCGGAAUUAUUGGGCGUAAAGAGCUCGUAGGCGGUUUGUCGCGUCUGCUGUGAAAACUCGGGGCUUAACCCCGGGCCUGCAGUGGGUACGGGCAGACUAGAGUGCGGUAGGGGAGACUGGAAUUCCUGGUGUAGCGGUGAAAUGCGCAGAUAUCAGGAAGAACACCCGUGGCGAAAGCGGCUCUCUGGAACGGUACUGACGCUGAGACGCGAAAGCGUGGGGAGCGAACAGG